AAAAGCGGAGGAAAAGAAACCAACAGGGAUUGCCUUAGUAACGGCGAGUGAAGCGGCAAGAGCUCAAAUUUGAAAUCUAGCACUUUCAGUGUUCGAGUUGUAAUUUGAAGAAGGUAUCUUUGGAGUUGGCCCCUGUCUAUGUUCCUUGGAACAGGACGUCACAGAGGGUGAGAAUCCCGUGCGAUGGGGAGACCAAUUCUUUGUAAAGUUCCUUCGAAGAGUCGAGUUGUUUGGGAAUGCAGCUCUAAGUGGGUGGUAAAUUCCAUCUAAAGCUAAAUAUUGGCGAGAGACCGAUAGCGAACAAGUACAGUGAUGGAAAGAUGAAAAGAACUUUGAAAAGAGAGUGAAAAAGUACGUGAAAUUGUUGAAAGGGAAGGGCUUUUGAUCAGACUUGGUGUUUAACGAUCUCUUCUCCUUGUGGGAGGGGCUCUUGUUUUAUACUGGGCCAGCAUCGGUUUGGAUGGCAGGAUAAUGACAUUGGAACGUGGCUUCAUUCGUGAAGUGUUAUAGCCUUUGUUGAUACUGCCUAUCUAGACCGAGGACUGCGUCUUGACUAGGAUGCUGCGUGUCGUGCAGUG
Molecule: ribosomal RNA, 578 nt
Filed under: Nakazawaea molendinolei
Lineage: Eukaryota; Fungi; Ascomycota; Pichiomycetes; Alaninales; Pachysolenaceae
Description: eukaryotic LSU rRNA
Rfam family: Eukaryotic large subunit ribosomal RNA
Source: RNAcentral